CAUACUGCCUAAUGGCUGUGGAAGAGGAGAUGAAAUAACUGAGGAGUCUUUGGUAGCCUACCCAAAAAGGAUGUGCUUAGCAGUCAGUUGGUGCAACACGAACCACAGAAAAAGGACGGAUGCCCCUGCCCUUUCACCCCUUCUCCUUCCAUCUGAUUGCACAGAAGCCGUAGUGUGUUUUUUGUUUCCCUGAAGAUGCUACACUCAAGGGUGUCAUUCUGCAGUAGUGAGCCUAUCUAUAGGUCACACAUAGUGCUGUAACAACCAUUACAGUGAUGUGGACGUGGAACGCUGCUGUCGCACAUUAAGCUACAUUCAAUACAUACAAUGAAGGCUGAAGAUGGAUUGCUUUGAUGACAUUAUUGCGACACCUUUGUGAAAUUCAGCUAAGGCUCUGCAAUACCGAUGGCAGGACAGCUGCUAUCUGGCUAUGGUGAGGAAGGUGAUAGCAAACGGGUUUAGUUCUGCCGUUGUUACACCAUCAUAAUGGAUUAUUUCUGUAAAUGACCAAAAACAUUAAUAACUAAUGCUAGAUUGAUAACUAUACUAAAUUGAUCACAUAUAAAUCCACGGAAAUGGCAAUAUAUGUAUGUAGAGGUGGAAGAAAUAGCGCAGCUGUAAAACA
Long non-coding RNA from Anguilla anguilla (European eel), 625 nucleotides. RefSeq lists it as uncharacterized. The transcript is spliced from 3 exons. The record is from RefSeq and is a predicted model, not a curated record. Lineage: Eukaryota; Metazoa; Chordata; Actinopteri; Anguilliformes; Anguillidae.